This 467-nucleotide ribosomal RNA is filed under the name uncultured bacterium. Its description in RNAcentral is "partial 16S ribosomal RNA". It matches the Rfam family "Bacterial small subunit ribosomal RNA", at positions 28 to 506 of the family's 1533-position model. The record is from RNAcentral.
GACGAACGCUGGCGGCGUGCUUAACACAUGCAAGUCGAACGGAAAGGCCCUGCUUUUGUGGGGUGCUCGAGUGGCGAGCGGGUGAGUAACACGUGAGUAACCUGCCCUUGACUUUGGGAUAACUUCAGGAAACUGGGGCUAAUACCGGAUAGGAGCUCCUGCUGCAUGGUGGGGGUUGGAAAGUUUCGGCGGUUGGGGAUGGACUCGCGGCUUAUCAGCUUGUUGGUGGGGUAGUGGCUUACCAAGGCUUUGACGGGUAGCCGGCCUGAGAGGGUGACCGGCCACAUUGGGACUGAGAUACGGCCCAGACUCCUACGGGAGGCAGCAGUGGGGAAUAUUGCACAAUGGGCGGAAGCCUGAUGCAGCAACGCCGCGUGCGGGAUGACGGCCUUCGGGUUGUAAACCGCUUUCGCCUGUGACGAAGCGUGAGGGACGGUAAUGGGUAAAGAAGCACCGGCUAACUACGU